UCUUCCACGCCUGCGCUGUGCCUCCGGCUGUCGCAGAGCUCCUCACAUGCGGGAGCAACACCGAAUAGGCCAGCCCCUCAUACGCAAACACACAAGAGAGCGAUACAUAUAAAUAUAGGAGUAAGCGAGGCCCUGCUCCACACACCGGUGGAAAACAGAGGGAGAGAAGGCUAAGGUUGCAAGUGUGUGUCUGCGUGACUCAGGCACAAAGCAGUGGAAGCACGUUGGCCACCUUACCCUCCCCAUUUUUCUCUGUCACUGGCCAGCUCUUGGGUGAGGGGUGCGCUCCGCCAAGGCCCGUGGCUCGGUAGCCGUUUCGAGGCACAGUUGACGCCCCUCCCGUUUCAACGCACGCUCUUGUACUGUUUUGUUGUUGUUCCUUCUUCAUGGUGUGCGCGACUGUGUGCGUUCCCUUGUCUGUCUCUUGGCCUUCACCUUAUUAAAGAGGUCAUCACACAUAGCCAAAGGGGGAUAAAGCUGUAGAGAGUCAUUAUAGCAGCGCACGCUUGUAAAAUAUCGAAGAAAAAUCAGCGUGCUGCUGCUGUUUGCCGCCGCGUGACUUGUGCAUGGAAGACCUCUUGUGCGCUGUGCACAUUGGACUCGUCGUACUUGUUUAUUGCUGUUACCUUGUGCACGACUGCAAACUGCCGAUCCCUCUUUCCGGUUGUGUUCUGUGCAUUUAUAUUUAUAUUUCUUUGUUCCUCUGCAUUCAUACAUAUAUAUCUGCAUAUGUAUAUAUAUAUAUAUAUAUAUGUAGUCGCCCUCUGUCCAUUGCACGCCUCUCUCCCCCACCCCCGUUCCUUUCUUCUGUCAGCUUCCAGUGUUCUUUCUUUUUGCCAUAUCGGAUGCUUUGUUCCUAGCAGAAGAAGAGCGGAUCUGGGCAUCUUUUAUGUGUUGUCUGAACUAAUCUAAAUCUUUAUUUUCAUUUGUUUCGUAACCUUCUCGGUGUGUGUGUGUGUGUGUGUGUGCCGUUGUUGUUGUUCAACCCUUCCAGCUCUACUCGGCUUGUGUUUAGAGUGCACCCACCCCGCUCCCUCCCUGUCUUCUUCUUCACCUCCACCUUCCCUCCCUGCCUCCCUCCUUUGCAGUGCUGUCGUUGUUCUCGCGCAGCGACUUGUCUUCCUCUUUAUUAUCGAGUGCAUCGAUCCAGCUUCCUCUUCUGUGCGCUUCUUUUUUAGUCUUCUCUUCCCCUCGGCAAGGAGAUGCUCUCGUGUACGAGUAACUUGUCGAGCGAUGCCGCGGCGGCAAGUGAACCGCCUCCCUCACCACGACCUCGCACUCCUGGUCCCCCUAUCGUCGCAUCCGCCUCUCACUCCUCCAUGCCCUCGAUGGCCGCGACGCAGAUCGUCAGCCGCGGUGGCUCCCCCACGCCGCCACUCACCACCGACGUCGACAUCCGCGGUCCGUUCCUGCUCUACGGCCCAUCGGGUCGCCUGCUGAGUCGCUACGAACCCUCCGACCUCUGGGGGUUGCUCAUUUCGGAGCACACAACGCUGAACUGCACAUAUGCCCAGACUACAGUACGGGUGGGCCGGGCUGGUGGGUGCGAUACCGUCUUGAGCGACCCGCGGGUGAGCAGCACGCAUUUCACCAUCUCAUUGGAGCUAGAACCUUAUGGAAACAGCGACCAUAGAAACCACUGGCGUGGCAGCGGCGUUGGCGGCGGCGACCAUGAGAUACCUUUGCUGCUGCGUCGCUCACCAGAAGGCAGCCCCGUCCAUACUCGAGGCAUGCACACAAACGCGAGCGACGCUAUCGCCUCUGGCGCGGGCGUCCCGAAAAGCGCCGCCUCCGGUGGUUUGACGUCAUCGUCGUCCCUGUGCAGCGUUGCCGCUGCCGAAAAGGGCUUGAACAAGGACGGCCGAUCCGAUGCAAGAGCCCUUUCAGAGACGACGCUGCCUGGUUGGCGAGUGAGUCGUGUAUCGCUCACCGACUGCAGCGCUAACGGCACCUAUGUCAACGACGUGCUCGUCGGUCGCGGGAAGUGCUGUGAUCUGCACUACGGCGACGACAUCAGUAUUGUGCGGGUGCCGGAAAAGAAACGUCCGCGUCGCGGCUCCACCACACCGACAGACCUGUCCAGCGAGGAGGACGAAACGCAACAGGAGUCGGAGAACGAAGUUGCGUGCUUUGCCCAGGGCGAACGUGGCGCAGAGCUGCGGCGCGGAACCGUGGCAGCACCGUCGUCUUCCGCCCACCACGUCGCUCCAUCGUCGCGGGACGCGCUCGCCGGCGGUGGCGCUGAACGCAUGGGAACUGAAGCGAACGAAGAAGGCAGCUCGCCAAGCGGCGACGACCCCCGCGUAACGCAGAUGUUCACGGCGCUCCUCUCCACGCUCUCGACGGAGCACACGUAUGUGGAGCGCUUUUGCUUCCACCUUUACCAUGCCGAGGAGGUGGGGCGAGGCGGCGCGCCCAUCAUCGAGCCCGACACGGUUGUUGCCUCUCAGAGGGCGGCGGCGGGGGAAGUGGAAGCAGAAGCGGAAAGACAGAGGGAGGACAACGAUGAACAGGACAAGUAUAACGAUGUACUCCAGCAGUCGCAACCCGAGCUGAAGCACAACCUGUCGCAACACAAGUCGGUGCGCUUCCCUGAUGACCCGGUUACGGCUUUCGAUCCGCCACCCCAAAACGCCGACAGCGAUGCCGUGGACUCGCCGCCAGCCUCGCUCUCUGCACUUCAGCAUCGUGACCGACGCGCCUCCCUGUCCAUGUCUCCGAUCCCUCCUUGUGCCCUAGUACCGGGUGACACCUCCGCCAGCGCUGCCUUCGCUCCGCAGAGCAGCGCGAACUCGUUGACACUCUCUACGGUAGUUACCCCGCACUCCCUUCUCCGGCCACGUCCGUCCAUCCGGGAGAGCUUCAUCGCCCCAAUCAGCCUUCCCGACCCCGAGGAAUCGACAGCGCCGUCGAACGGAUCCGUGCAUGGCUCCGUCAUGGCCUCCACCUCGGUAAUUCGCUUUCACGAGAGUAUCGGCAUCAGCGCUGCGCUGCGGCGUAAGGCGGCUGCGCAGCGCGCGCUUGCCGCACGCCGCGGGUGCAGCACCGCGAGCAACCAGGCUAACGGCAGCCUCGGUACCGUUGGGGCAAUUAUGAAGGACAUGCCACCGGAUAUUCCCAUUCGCUAUGCGGUACUGCCGCUGCGCCACCUUCAGUGGGGUGGCCGCAUCGGCUUCGGCGCGAGCGGGGAUGUAUUCAUGGGUAUCGACGUCUCGACCGCGACCGUGGUCGCCAUCAAAGUGCUGAAAGGAAGCUCGCUUUUUCAGUCCUCGCAGCCUGCGGACACGACGGUGGCUAAAGCACACAGCAAAACCACUUCAGGAAGGUCAGCAGUGCCGUCGGUGCAGGACGACGGUACGAUCCUCAACUUGUCAAACAUCAGUCUGGGCAACGGUACAGUCACGGACCACCGGGCAUCGUCAGAAGGCUGGACCUGUGCUCCUCCCUCUUUGGCCUCCCCCAUGACGGUGCCGUCGCACCGUGCUACCUCACGGCAGGUGGACCACACGAACGAGGAGUCGAUACAGGUUAGCGAGGCGUCCACACCGCUGACGCCGGCGUCCGCAGUGACCUCGUCAUCAGCCUCCGCGCACGGGAACACCUCCGCAGCGCUGGUAAACACGUCGUCUACCUCUCAUUGCCACACGCAGGUUCAGCAGCAGCAGCAGCCACCUCGGCCGCAGUCACAAGACGAGCACUCUGCCGCACCACUUCUCCGCAAGCACUUGCGAGAGAUUAUCUUUCUGACGACGCUGCAGCACCACCGCAUCGUGCGCUUCCUCGGCUUCCAGUUCAGCGGCGAGGGUCGUCUGUGUCUUCUUAUGGAGUACGUGGCUGGUGGAACCUUGCAGACGCUGGUCAAGAACUUCGGCGUGUUUGAGGAGAACGUGAUUCGCCUGUACACGCUGCAGAUCCUAGAGGGUUUGGAGUACCUGAAACGCAAGGGUGUUGUACACGGUGACUUAAAGAGCGCAAACAUCCUCGUGUCGGAGCAGGGCAGCGUGAAGCUGACCGACUUUGGCACGAGUCGCUUCUUGCGCGCGUGUGCAGCAGAGGAAAAGGGAGCCGGGGAAGCGGCUGGGGCAGACGAUGAGCGACCGGGAGCUGAAGUGCGUCGCGCUCGUCGCCGGGGUGAGUCUCGCGAAGUCCACCACGCACCUGCAGAUCGAGCGCGCAAGCGCUAUCAUCACGGCAACUCUCCUGGCGCCGAUGCCGCGGUGUCAGAAGAUGGCAGAGGAGAGGAUAUCAGCGUCGGCAACUCAGAAGGGUGCGGGGAGUGCUGUCGCGGCGGCAGUGACGAGGACGUAUACCCGGAUGACGUCCACAGCGCCGAGGACAACUUCGAGGAGGACGAGGAGGGAGAGGAGCCCAACGAGGACGACGGUUCGGAGCGUCGCUUGCUCUGCGGCACGCCUCUCUACAUGAGCCCCGAGCUCAUCCGCACACAAGAGCCGACCUUCGCCUCCGAUAUGUGGGCCCUAGGAUGUGUGGUGUACGAGAUGGCGACAGGUGGAGUUUUACCAUGGCGGCCGGUGCACAACCUGAGUGCACCGGCGGUUAUUUGGUACAUUGGGCAGCGGGGCGAAGAGGGCGACGGACCUUCGAUGGAUGACGUUUACACGGAGCGAGACCGCCUGAACCGCGCCAGUACCGACCCGUCGCUUCAUGAGGCAGUGGAUGACUCGUACGACGAAGAAGGCGGAGGGCACCGCGGCCACAGCAGCAGAGGUGGCAGCGUGGGUCGCUGGGAUCGCACUCCAUCCCCUAUGCUGUUGGACCUCCUACAAUCUACGUUGAACAUGAACCCAGCACUGCGCCCCACUCCAGCGGAGCUGCUUCAGCAUCCCUUUAUCCGCAAUGAAGCCUCUAAUGCGGCGCUCGAGCGCUGGCACGCCUUGGUGGCAGCGAACCGUCUCCCCGCUACCCACGCACUGAAGCAGCACGGCGAGGAAGGCGAGGAGUUGAUGUCACAUCGCACGCUGAAGGCUGAGCCUGUCGCGGAUAUCAAGAGUACGCUGAGGUCGGUGCGUGGCAGCGCUUCAAGAGACGGCUCACAGCACGCUCGCGCCUCGCUCUCCCCCGCACGCACGCCGCCCUCACCACAGGCGAUUGAAGUGGAGGAACUGGACGACAACGCCCCCGCCAAGCUAGGCGGCGAGAAUCCACCAGGCACGGCAUCGAGGCAGCAACAUCCUUCGCGGCACCCCCCGGCCCCGCUAGGAGAGCCAAUGACGUCGCCGUCGAUGAACCUUUUGGGCGACCCCUGCGAAGAUGCGGAGCCGUCUUCCGUGUUGCCGCUUCCGCCACCGGCCAGCCAGCCGAAGCCGCAGAUGCCGAAGGCGCAUGCAGUGCAGGUCCCCUCGGUGCUUGGUGCAGGCAGCCCCGACUCGCAGCCGCUCAUCUGCGAGCCCCCGCGGCGGCCAGACAUACGUGGGCGUCGCAUGGAUGCGCCGCCGCCCGUAAUAAGUCAGGCCGCUGCAUCCCCAGAACGCUUCCCCAGCGCGUCGCACGGUGCGGCGUCCCUGCCGUGGUGGACCCCGCAGAGCUUCUCGGCGCCGACCAAGCUGCCCGUUUCACGAUCUCGCGCCUCUGCCUCGGCUCUUGUGGGUAUGCGACAGGCUGAACAGCAGGCGCCGUACACCAUGCCAGUGACGCAGCAAAGCACGAGCAAGUCGUACCUGCGUCAGCAUCAGCUAUUCCUCAAGCAAAACGAGCUCGAGCGUCGUCGAAUCUCUUUUUUAGUGCCGCAAGGUGGACGGCAAAUGAGCGGUCGCCACCGCACCGAAGGGCCGCCGAUACUACAGCAGCAGCAGCAGCAGCCCUUGCCCAUGGCUUCCGCUCCGGCAGCGGCUGGGAUAAUGCCCAUGUGUCCGCCUAGCUAUCAGUACGCGAUGCAGCAGCCCGUGCUGGAAUACACGCCUGGCUACAGCGACUACAAUCCCCAGGUGAACACGCAGACGGUGGAAAUGCGCCUGCCGCCGGGCUUCACAAGUCAGUCGCUCUCCGCCCCACACCAGCAGGGCAGACGGCAGAGCUGGAGCAUCGGCAGCAACAGGGUGUUGGCGGGUGUGCAGCUGCAGAGCGUCGCCUCCAGCCAGAAGCCGCUCUCCCAGCAGCUGCGAGGAAACAAGCCAAAGCACAGCAGCCGGAGAGAGCGCGCGCGAAUCGCGCCGACUACCGCGGCAGCGUCCAACGUCUCGCCUUCACUGCACACCAGUACUCGAAGCCCCGUCAUAUCAAUGAAUUCCAGCCAUGUCAGGGGCCCUGCAGCGGCUGACUCCACACGCGAGAGCAGUGGCCCUGUACUCUCACACACGUCACAGCAAUUUGCGCCGCAGCAACAACUGUCCAUGCAGCAACUGCACCCCGUUGUAGGGGGCUUGACGAUGGAGAUGGACAAUCUUACGAUAUCUUCCCCACUAUUGUCGAGCUUUGCUGCGUCGAUGGCGCCCUUACCGGUGCAGGAUCACAGAUGCGUACUCAGCUACAGCGGUGCACCCAUGCCGGUGGAUCAGCCGGUCUCAAAAUCGCCGCAAGCCCACUGCCAAGGACCCGUUCUUGCCCUUCUUUCGCACCCGCGCCACCGCCACACCGCACACGCACAGUCGGCCACGACAAGCAGCCUCGGUCCCGGCAGCGGAGACGGUGGCGGCGCCGUCCAGCAGGCUUCGCCAGCCAAUGCCGCUGAAGUGGAAGGAGCUGGAAACAGCGCUGCCCAACGGAACGCUCGGCGUGGGAGGCAAGGUCGCCGGAGCGCUUUGUCCUCUUCCAGUCUGCUUCUCCAUCAGAACCGCCUCCGAAACCCACGGCGCGCUUCGCCGCUGCUGAGGCAGCAGCUACACCAGAUGACCUUGACAAGUACUCGCACCUGUGUGGUGGAGCACAGCGACAAACAGGAGCAGCAACAAAUACCGUCUUUGAACGAAGAAGCACCAGCCUCGCAGCAGCAGGAAGAGCCACGCAGCACGAAGCGACCGUGCGCGGCAAGGUCGAAUGGGCGGAGCUCGUCUACCUACACGGCGGGAAAGAAGCGGCGCAUUCGCACAUCGCUGCGCGUGUCCACCAGAGAGGCGAUUCGGCGUCAGCAACAGCGACGUUCGCAGAAGCAGUGAAAAGGCCGUGUCCCGCGAGACGGCUGGGGGACGAGGACACACAUAUGUGCAUCUGUCUCUCUAACUCUGUAUCUGUGUGCGCGCGUGUGUGUUUGUGUGUGUCUGUGUGAGCGGGGGAGGGGUUGUGUCCCGUUGAUGUCUUUGCUGUGUCGUUCUUCCGCGAAACUGAAG
Molecule: unclassified non-coding RNA, 7283 nt
Filed under: Leishmania donovani
Lineage: Eukaryota; Euglenozoa; Kinetoplastea; Trypanosomatida; Trypanosomatidae
Description: gene:LdHU3.33.2220(CDS-product:protein_kinase_put ative)
Source: RNAcentral